This 775-nucleotide ribosomal RNA is filed under the name uncultured Neocallimastigales. RNAcentral describes it as "partial large subunit ribosomal RNA". It matches the Rfam family "Eukaryotic large subunit ribosomal RNA", at positions 24 to 644 of the family's 3401-position model. The record is from RNAcentral. Lineage: Eukaryota; Fungi; Neocallimastigomycota; Neocallimastigomycetes; Neocallimastigales.
UUAUCUCUGUAGAGUCUGCAUAUCAAUAAGCGGAGGAAAAGAAACUAACAAGGAUUCCCUUAGUAACGGCGAGUGAAGCGGGAAGAGCUCAAAUUUGAAAUCUUCAAGGUUCUACCUUGACGAAUUGUAGUUUAAAGAAGUGUUUUCUGUUAGAUGAGUAGCAAAAGUUCCUUGGAAUGGGACAUCAUAGAGGGUGAGAAUCCCGUAUUUGGUUAUUCAUUCUAGCUUUGUGAUACACUUUCAAAGAGUCGGAUUGUUUGGGAAUGCAGUCCAAAAUGGGUGGUAAAUUUCAUCUAAAGCUAAAUAUUGGCGAGAGACCGAUAGCGAACAAGUACCGUGAGGGAAAGAUGAAAAGAACUUUGAAAAGAGAGUUAAACAGUACGUGAAAUUGUCAAAAGGGAAGCGUUUGACACCAGUGUUGUUUUUCCGAAAAUCAAUUACGAAUGGCUUGAUUUUGUGUUGUAUUGACCUUAUCAGCUUUCUUCACUUUUUUCGAGUCUUUCUUAAUGCACUUUUCGGUUAACAAGUCAACAUCAAUUUCUUUUGUUGUAAAAGAGUAUUCGGAAGGUGGCUUUCUUUUCGGAGAAAGUGUUUAUAGCCCUAUACUUCUACAAUCGGAGAGAUUGAGGUCUGCAGCGUAGAUCCUUCGGGGUUAGAUACACUUGUGCUAAGUUGUAGCUUUUCAUAGACAACUUGUUGACUAUGUUUAGUCAUGCGGCUUACUCGCUUGUGCUAUUUUACCUACGCUUAGGAUGUUGACUGAUAUGUAGUCGUA